Molecule: long non-coding RNA, 941 nt
Organism: Triticum dicoccoides
Lineage: Eukaryota; Viridiplantae; Streptophyta; Magnoliopsida; Poales; Poaceae
Exons: 2
Source: RefSeq, a predicted model, not a curated record
GUUCAAAGUGUGUUUACACGGGCGGCUGAAAAAAAUUCAACCCAUAAGGGCGCGAAGAGAAAUUCUAAAUAGCCCACACCGCACGAACUUGGUUUCCUGUAACCACCUAUGGCCUGGUCGUGGUCCUCGUGGAGGAUGGAGACAUUUUCUCCUCUCCCUCCUCCCGUAGUAACCAGUCCACCAGAUCUUGUAUCUCACCAGUUCUGGCGGCGCGCCGCAGCACUCGGCGAUCUACGGCGCUAGGUUAGUGCAUCCGCUACUCUCUCUCCCCCCGGAAUUUCAUCUCUCCUCUCGCCUUGGUCUCUUCUACCUCCUCUUUCUGCAGCGAGAUCAACGCGAGCGAUGGUGGCGAGCAACAACGAGCGGCUGCGCGGGCUGAUGGGGAGCUGCCGCCCUGGCUGAUGCUCGAGCGGGCCGCGUGCUGAUGGGCGAGCGGCAACAGGGGCUAAUGAGUUGUGUUCUGCUCUGUUCUCGUUCACAUGCAGGGUCAAGGAGGCGGGAUAUCCAUGUCGGCUUCAUCCAAGGUCAAGCUUACCACGACCACCCCACCACCAAGCAAAGCGAACAACCACAUCACGGUGCCAAGCAAAGGACAUGACAGGUGCAGCGCUUGCUUUCAGUUUAGUCUUCGGGCUUGUAGAUAAAGGGAAGCAAUGCUGGAGGAAAGUCGCAAUGAUGGAAGCGAUAUCUAUGGUCGUGAGCAUAAUAUGAGGGGCAAAAAGACAUAAGUGAUUCUACCAAGUGAAGUUAUGAAGCUCGAGUGUUGACGGUGUUUGAUAUCUUUGUACUAUGUCUAUAGAAUAUUGUUAAAAACAUUUUGUUCUAGUUACCAUUUCCUUCUUCAUUUGAUGAAUUGUUAAGGUUCAAAGUGAUUUGGAUCUCAAUCUUGUUGCGCCUUGAACAUGUUGAUAUUGUAAAAAAAUAUAAUUCAUAUUUUGUCA